Molecule: non-coding RNA, 31 nt
Filed under: Rattus norvegicus (Norway rat)
Lineage: Eukaryota; Metazoa; Chordata; Mammalia; Rodentia; Muridae
Source: RNAcentral
UUCNGCAGGAAGUAAUGUAACAAUGCCACCC